RNAcentral lists this ribosomal RNA (246 nucleotides) under uncultured bacterium. RNAcentral describes it as "partial 16S ribosomal RNA". It matches the Rfam family "Bacterial small subunit ribosomal RNA", at positions 527 to 779 of the family's 1533-position model. The record is from RNAcentral.
CGGAGGUGCAAGCGUUGUCCGGAUUAUUGGGUUAAAGGUGCGUAGGCGGCUUAUUAAGUCAGGGUGAAGACUAUUGCUUAACAAUGGCAGUGCCUUUGAUACUGAUAGGCUUGAGUACAGCUGAGGCAGAUGGAACGGUGGUGUAGCGGUGAAAUGCAUAGAUACCAUCCAGAACACCGAUUGCGAAGGCAGUCUGCUAAACUGUAACUGACGCUGAGGCACGAAAGCGUGGGAUCGAACAGGAUU